UAAGACAGAGGUGCCAAGCGUUAGGCGGAAUCACUGGGCUUAAAGCGUGUGUAGGCGGAUUUGUAAGUACCUUGUGAAAUCCCACAGCUCAACUGUGGAACUGCUGGGUAUACUGCUUAUCUUGAGCCACUUAGGGGCUGUCGGAACAAAUGGUGGAGCGGUGAAAUGCGUAGAUAUCAUUUGGAACGCCAACGGUGAAAACAGACAGCUGGGAGUGUGCUGACGCUGAGACACGAAAGCCAGGGGAGCGAACGGGAUUAGAUACCCCGGUAGUCCUGGCCCUAAACGAUGUCGACUAGAUCGUGGUAGCUCUGACGCUUUCACGGUCGAAGCAAAAGUGCUAAGUCGACCGCCUGGGAAGUACGGUCGCAAGGCUA
This 377-nucleotide ribosomal RNA is filed under the name uncultured bacterium. Its description in RNAcentral is "bacterial SSU rRNA". It matches the Rfam family "Bacterial small subunit ribosomal RNA", at positions 521 to 896 of the family's 1533-position model. The record is from RNAcentral.